This 552-nucleotide unclassified non-coding RNA is filed under the name Hevea brasiliensis (rubber tree). The record is from RNAcentral. Lineage: Eukaryota; Viridiplantae; Streptophyta; Magnoliopsida; Malpighiales; Euphorbiaceae.
GCAUACAAUACACAUAAGGCUGCCACAAAAAUCGAAGAAGAAAGCUUUUUGAUAUGUUUUUUAGAAGCAGGUUUCUGUCUUUCCCCAUGGUAAUUGGAGCCGUAGUAAUUGGAGUUGUUUCUGGAAAAGCAAUAUUUGGGUCCCCACUUGAUGAGUACUGGAAAAAGAAGCUUCAGGAGGAGGCAGCUGCAAAAGACACCGACACAAGCUCUACUUAGGAAAUGUGCUGAAUUUAUCACCAGUCUGUGGCAAUAGGCACUGGGAAGUGCGAAAUCGUCAUUUCCAGUUUGCUGACUGAAGAGGCAUACUAUGCAUAUUCAUUGGAAUCAUUGCGCUUGAUACAAUGUAGAUUAGGACAAUGCAAAUGCUGAUAGCUUGAUACACCCAGGUGGUAUAGGGUCCCAGCUUAUUGCUUGGUACGAUAGGAGGAACUCGGUGCAUUACAUUAUUUGGUUGUUUUGUGGUCAAAGCAGAAAAGCAUGAUGAACCUAAUCUGCUGAAUGAUUCUUAAGCUUCAGAUCCCAAUAAAGAUUUUAUUGAACCUUAAAAAAA